This 21-nucleotide non-coding RNA is filed under the name Caenorhabditis elegans. The record is from RNAcentral. Lineage: Eukaryota; Metazoa; Nematoda; Chromadorea; Rhabditida; Rhabditidae.
UAGAUUUCAUGUAAAAAUGAA